CUUCAAUAAUAAUAAUAACAACAGCAGCAAACAAACCCAUAUAGAGUAUGUGUCUAAACCUGGCACUUUUCUAAAUUCUUUUCAGAUAAUCCCUACAACUUCUGGGAGAGGUGCAAGUAUCAACCAGUUGGAGACACAGGGAAAGGGUGAUAUAAUGCAGAAAGUGACUUGAACAAAUUUACACAGAAGGCAGUGAAGUGUGAUUCAAAUUCAAGCAGUCUAGACUGUGCCCCACACAACUCUGCAGCAUAACCUUGCAGUAUGAAAAUAAUGCCUCUCAUGCAGGUUAUGUCUUCUUUUAUAAGACUACCCACUGCCUCUUCUCAAGUAUAUCUGAAGUAUGGCUGGUUGGAGUAUAUCAGGACCCUCAGAGGAGAAAAGCAUAUAAAACUAGCACACCUGAACCCAGGUAAAUGGAAAGACCCUCAUUAUUAUCUUUACCAGAUAUUGAUACUUUGCAUUAAUUUAGAUUUAACAGACUACUAAGGGCUUUGUCUCCCCACCUAAAUCUCAUCUUGAAUUUAAUCCCCAUAAUCCUCAUAAUCUCCACAUGUCAAGGGAGAGACCAGGUGGAGAUAAUUGAAUCAUGGGGGUGGUAUCCCC
Molecule: long non-coding RNA, 603 nt
Filed under: Pan troglodytes (chimpanzee)
Lineage: Eukaryota; Metazoa; Chordata; Mammalia; Primates; Hominidae
Description: lncRNA (ENSPTRG00000054311.1)
Source: RNAcentral